GGCGAUAUGGCCAAGUGGUAAGGCUAAGGUCGGCAAGACCUUUAUUCCCUAGUUCGAACCUAUGUGUCGCCUCCA
Molecule: transfer RNA, 75 nt
Filed under: Bacillota bacterium
Lineage: Bacteria; Bacillati; Bacillota
Description: tRNA-Cys
Rfam family: tRNA
About the family: Transfer RNA (tRNA) molecules are approximately 80 nucleotides in length.
Source: RNAcentral